CAGAGACCUCAAGCGUUAUCCGGAAUCAUUGGGCGUAAAGCGUACCGACAGGUGGUUUUACAAGUCAGAAGUGAAAUCUUAAAGCUCAACUUUGAGACUGUCUUUUGAAACUGUAAAACUAGAGGGGCAAAGAGGAAGCUGGAACGAACGGUGUAGUAGUGAAAUGCGUUGAUAUCGUUCGGAACACCAAUAGCGUAGGCAGGCUUCUGGGUGCCACCUGACACUGCUAGGACGAAAGCGUGGGGAGCGAUAAGGAUUAGAUACCCUUGUAGUUCACGCUGUAAACGAUGAUGAUUAGGUGACUAGGGAGUAUCGACCCUCUUUAGUACCAUAGCUAACGCGUUAAAUCAUCCGCCUGGGGAGUACGGCCGCAAGGCUA
Molecule: ribosomal RNA, 379 nt
Filed under: uncultured organism
Description: bacterial SSU rRNA
Rfam family: Bacterial small subunit ribosomal RNA
Source: RNAcentral